Molecule: long non-coding RNA, 2537 nt
Filed under: Calidris pugnax (ruff)
Lineage: Eukaryota; Metazoa; Chordata; Aves; Charadriiformes; Scolopacidae
Description: lncRNA (ENSCPUG00000001355.1)
Source: RNAcentral
AUGUGCCAAGAGGCUGGUGGGCCCCGGGAGCUGCUGGUGGGCUCCAGGGAGCUGCUGGUGGGCUCCAGGGAGCUGCUGGUGGGCCCCGGGAGCUGCUGGUGGGCCCCGGGAGCUGCUGGUGGGCCCCGGGAGCUGCUGGUGAGCUCCAGGAGCUGCUGGUGGGCUCCAGGAGCUGCUGGUGGGCCCCAGGAGCGCGCGGUUGGUUGGGGUUGUCCCAAUGCUCCAGGUGGGAGAGCUGUGAAGUUGGUUUUGGAGUGGGAUCAACUGGAAAAGGGGUUUCCUGCCCUCUCCAGUGCGUGCCUUAUGCAGCUGUUCAGUUGUCAGUGUUUGUAUGCAUUUCCUGUGAGGUGAAUUUUGAACAUACUGGACAUUAAUAUUUUCCCUCUCUGUAUUUGUAACAGCAGUGACUUCCAAGCUUUGUUUUUGGGUGAGCUCCUUUAGUCUUGGCUGUUUUCUAACACUGCAUUCCCGGCUCUGUUACCGUUUCCUGGUUCCCGACUUGUUUGUUUAUCUCUAGCUUUGUUUUUUAAAGAUUUGUGAAAAGACCUGCAUAUCUAUGACAGGAAAACCAAUUUAUUUUCCUGAAUUAAUGACGUCAGGCUGGCAGCAGAGGAGUUGUGUGACGCUGACCGUGACCAGAGGGGACUUCCAGUUGGUUUCUCUUGUUUUGGGUUUUAUCUGAGAGUUUUAGAUGUGGAACAGAAGAUUGGGGAAAACCCUUUUCUUUAAAAAAAAGUGGGUGCUGUGGCCAGGAGGGGGGAUUUCAUCCCGGCUUCGGGCAAGCCCAGAUGGACCUUCAUGCCGUCCUGAUGGCACCAUCAGCUUCCUCUGCCCUGACAGCGGAGAGCGCAGCCCUGGGGUCUCAUCCAGCACCUCAUCUGGGAUGUUUGGGGCUAGUGCUCACCAAAAAAAAGCAGAGUCAGCAGGUUUUUGGGGUGGAUUGGUGAUGGCAGCUCACUUUUGGCUCUGAUGGUUGAGUCCAGUAUCAGCUUGUGGAGCCCGUCCCCGAACGCGUGCGCCGGCAGCUGGCUCCUAUUUUAUAGAAAAGAUGUGUGUCAUCUUCAGAGUUUAACGUCAGGGAGGAGACAGGACUCCCAGAACCUUGUCUUUUUUUAACUGCUGGGGAAAAAAAAAAAGCCAGCUCGUAGGUAUUAAAGAGGCUGAACCCGGCCUGCAGGGAAGAACAUCUUUGUGACUGCAACAAGGGAACGAAAUACCGGCUUUCACAUUCUCUUUGGUGCUGAGAUUCUGGUUUUAAAGGCGAAAUAUCCUCAAAUAUGAAGAACUAAGGCUCCCUACGUGUGUGAUGUUUAGAAUUGUGUUCUUCUAGGAAUUUUUAAAAGCAGCCUGAUUGGCAGCGUUAACACUUUCCGGGGAAUCUUGGGUGGCUUUAACCUUUGGGGCCGAGCUCCAGGUGUUGCUGAUGUCAACCCGAAAGGGAGUAUCGAGCUGGCGGGAUCAAAGGGCAGCACUUUUAAAACUUGACCCUAUUUCAAAUCGGGAUUUAUCUUUUUUUAAUAGGGGUGAUGGCUGGAUGAAUCAUCCAGGUGAGGCAGGGCCAGUGAGUUUUUCCCCUGUAGGUCACUCCUCGCCGCUGUCCCCUCCAGCUGCAGGGACAAAGGUGGGAAUUUGUGCUUUUAGGGGCUAAAACUGCUUUUAAUUUCCCCGCCUGCCUGAAGGGAGCAGACUUUAAUUUGGCUCGAGGUAAUAUUUCACUUUGCCUCCUCGCUGCCAGCUCCAGCAAUGACUUGCCCCUGGUGGCUCCGUGGUGACUCGUGGCCUUGUCCUCCCUGGGAUGUCGCUGUUAACGACGGGCAGUGAUUUUAUUAGUGAGACAGGAUGUUGGAUGGUUGAAUGGGUCAAAUACUCCCAUAAGUGUCAUCUCUGCGUGUGACAAGGGGCUGGUGGGGGGAGCAGGACCGUCCCCCGCCUCCGGUGGCUUCUUUGGUGCCUUUUGUUCCUUGGUGGCUCUGGGGGGACGUGGGGUGACAAACCCCUUUCUGUAAGAAACGGGAAGGGAUGGGCAGAGCUGAGUCACCCCCUUGGCCCUGCCCCUUCCCCAGCGCAUUCAUUUCUCAUUAGUCAGCUCGGAGGGUGCUGCUUUAUUGGGGGUUUUUAGUGAAAUCACCCCGUUUUUGGCCAGUGGUGUGUCACAGCUGAGGGGCUGAGCUCCCACUUCUCUCAGCAACUGCUUCCAGCUCCUCUGCUCCGUGGGGCACACGUGGUCCCCGGCUGCUUUCGGCGUCGAGCUUGUGAGUCUCUCUCACUUCCAACCCGUCUUGGCAACUUCAAUUCUCCUCUUUUACAAAAAUACCGUCUUUUGGGGCCGGGAGAAGGUGGGUUUUUUGCCCCCCCCCCGACGCUGUGUGUUGGCGACGGGCUGCCCUCGUGGAGCGACUGUAAAUACCCCCGUAGUCGAAUGUCACGGCCAUUGGAUUAUUAUUUUUUAUUUUUUUUUCCGCAUUUAUUUUUAAACUAUUCCAUGUUUGAUACUGUCUAUAAAUAAAUUUGCAGAAUUUAGAGGAUUAGAACUUUUC